Molecule: long non-coding RNA, 689 nt
Organism: Amblyraja radiata (thorny skate)
Lineage: Eukaryota; Metazoa; Chordata; Chondrichthyes; Rajiformes; Rajidae
Exons: 3
Source: RefSeq, a predicted model, not a curated record
UCGGCAACUUGAGCGCCAGCAGACAUCCAUCCAUGCUUUUGGAGGCUGGCUCUGGAAUGCAUCCAGUCUACCAAUCAGCAUUGACCCACUGCAGUUCACCUACCGCUGCAACAGGUCCAUGGCUGAUGCCAUCUCCCUGAUGCUACACUCAUCCCUGGAACACCUGGAUAAGAGAGACACCUACGUCAGACUUCUAUUCAUAGACUACAGCUCUUUAAUACCAUUAUCCUAUCCAAGCUCAACACCAAACAUGAUGUGAUAGAUAGAUCAAAUAAUUUAUUAUCAAGAAGCAACCUUGUAAAGUAGAAGUUUAACAGAUAGCCCACACACAAUUUUAAGCAAGAAACUGUUUGUGGGGGACUCUGGGGGAGAGUUAAUGGUGUCGAAACUGGCCUUAUUGCCCGGGAUGGUCAAAUAAACAAGUCUAAAUCAGUCAUACGCCAGAGAUUAAAAAGGAAGAAAACUGGGAGGCUGCUGGAAUUUUGGCUGAUGUGAUUGUGUUUUUAAUCAAUCUGUUCCCUUUUUCCCUUUUGCUCCAUCUGAUGUAUUCGUAUUUGGUAUGAUUUAUCUGGAUAGUAUGUGAACAACAUUUUUCACUCUAUCUUGGUACACACUAAUAAUAAACAAAUACCAAUACAGAACAAUUAGAAACUGCAACUCACCAAUAAGUCACAUUUGUAGAAUGUUAC